CCUACGGGGGGCUGCAGUGGGGAAUAUUGCACAAUGGGCGCAAGCCUGAUGCAGCCAUGCCGCGUGUGUGAAGAAGGCCUUCGGGUUGUAAAGCACUUUCAGCGGGGAGGAAGGCGGUGAGGUUAAUAACCUCAUCGAUUGACGUUACCCGCAGAAGAAGCACCGGCUAACUCCGUGCCAGCAGCCGCGGUAAUACGGAGGGUGCAAGCGUUAAUCGGAAUUACUGGGCGUAAAGCGCACGCAGGCGGUCUGUCAAGUCGGAUGUGAAAUCCCCGGGCUCAACCUGGGAACUGCAUUCGAAACUGGCAGGCUAGAGUCUUGUAGAGGGGGGUAGAAUUCCAGGUGUAGCGGUGAAAUGCGUAGAGAUCUGGAGGAAUACCGGUGGCGAAGGCGGCCCCCUGGACAAGGACUGACGCUCAGGUGCGAAAGCGUGGGGAGCAAACAGGAUUAGAUACCCUAGUAGUC
RNAcentral lists this ribosomal RNA (465 nucleotides) under uncultured Klebsiella sp. RNAcentral's name for it is "bacterial SSU rRNA". It matches the Rfam family "Bacterial small subunit ribosomal RNA", at positions 338 to 795 of the family's 1533-position model. The record is from RNAcentral. Lineage: Bacteria; Pseudomonadati; Pseudomonadota; Gammaproteobacteria; Enterobacterales; Enterobacteriaceae.